UGCAGCACAAUAGUGACCUCACAUGUGGAGGAAUUUUGUCUGAAGGUCAGAAAAGAUAUUUCCUUGCGUCGUUAGCCUGGUAGACCCCUAACUAGCACUGUUUCUAAAGCGGAAAGCCUCCUCUGGGGCCUCCUUACAAAUCCAAGCUGAUCUUGCCUAGCUGGGGCCCAGGAAUGAAGACAGCAAUCUAGAAUCUUCACUGUUCUGAUUCUCUGCUGAGCAGAUGCUGCUGCUCCAGGGCCCCUGCCCUCUGUGCACCCAGUGUGGCCUCAAAUGCCCUUUGCAUCCUGCCUGUGCCAUAUUUGCACACUAAGGUGGUCUGCUGCAGCAGGGCUGGAGGGCUAAGUCUCACUUUCCCCCACCUGCUAUGCUCCUCACCCCCCACCUAUGGCAGGAGUGACUUCCUGCCACAGUGGAGGGGGAACCAGUGACCCCGUGCUAGAUGGCCGCUUUUUUCUUGCAUUAGGCGAAACCAAAACUAUAUGAACAUUCUCCGGUUCCUGGCCCUGGGCGACAAGAAGCUGAGUCCCUUUAACAUCACUCACCGCUUCACGCACCUCUUCUGGUUUGGGGAUCUUAACUACCGUGUGGAUCUGCCUACCUGGGAGGCAGAAACCAUCAUCCAGAAAAUCAAGCAGCAGCAGUACGCAGACCUCCUGUCCCACGACCAGCUGCUCACAGAGAGGAGGGAGCAGAAGGUCUUCCUGCACUUCGAGGAGGAAGAAAUCACGUUUGCCCCAACCUACCGUUUUGAAAGACUGACUCGGGACAAAUAUGCCUACACCAAGCAGAAAGCGACAGGGAUGAAGUACAACUUGCCUUCCUGGUGUGACCGAGUCCUCUGGAAGUCUUAUCCCCUGGUGCACGUGGUGUGUCAGUCUUAUGGCAGUACCAGCGACAUCAUGACGAGUGACCACAGCCCUGUCUUUGCCACAUUUGAGGCAGGGGUCACUUCCCA
Molecule: small RNA, 958 nt
Filed under: Pongo abelii (Sumatran orangutan)
Lineage: Eukaryota; Metazoa; Chordata; Mammalia; Primates; Hominidae
Description: retained intron
Source: RNAcentral